GUCCAGGGGGGUUUGGGGGGCGGCGUGGAAGGAGGAGGCUCAGGGGAGCCACCCCACUGCAAAGCCUGGAGGAGGGGGCUGCUCCCUCUGGCGCCCCCCUUCCCCCUCUCCUCCCUGCACAAGAGUGAUUGGAGUGCCGGUCACUUACCUCUGAAGGAUUCGGCCUUUUUGUACAGCUGCGUGUUCAAGGAUUCAAGAAACUCCUAAAAAGAAAGAACAGACGACACUCCAGGGCACAGCGGAGCUACAAAUCUGUUCAUCUUUACAGGACUGGCUGGACUGAAAGCAGACCCAAACUGGUGCAAUCUGUGCAGAUAAAGAAGCGAGAUGGAAGAGCAGAGUCCAGCAGGACCUGAACUUUGCAAGAGAGGAAGGGAAGACCCCCAUCCCAUCCAAGCUGGGGGUGGUGUUGCAUUCUGGGAGGGAGCCGUGCCAGAGAUUCGGGGUCAGGAGCCCCUGAACUCAGAAAUAUUUUGUCGACGCUUCUGGCAGUUCUGCUACCGUGAGGCCGAUGGACCCCGAGAGGUUUGCAGCCAGCUCCAUGGACUUUGCAACCACUGGCUGAAGCCAGAGAGGCACUCCAGGAAGCAGAUCUUGGACCUGGUGAUCCUGGAGCAGUUCCUGACCGUCC
Molecule: long non-coding RNA, 631 nt
Organism: Sphaerodactylus townsendi
Lineage: Eukaryota; Metazoa; Chordata; Lepidosauria; Squamata; Sphaerodactylidae
Exons: 3
Source: RefSeq, a predicted model, not a curated record